UUUCCGUAGGUGAACCUGCGGAAGGAUCAUUACCAAAAAAACCAAUCACAAGACAGAAAUAUGCGCAAGCGUGUUUCUGUCACUUGUGUGUUGAACCCCUUGUGUGAACACUGUUUUCUAUGUGCUUGCCCAACGCGCUGUAUCUAUGCAAAAAGUAUUUUUUGCACGGGUGGCUGUUGUGCUUGCACAUGAUCAACACCACAUAACUAUAAAAUACCAAUCUUUUGGACUCAAAAUAUAUAUUUUGCUGAAAAACAUAAGAAUCAAAAAAAUAUACAACUUUUAACAACGGAUCUCUAGGCUCUC
Molecule: unclassified non-coding RNA, 306 nt
Filed under: plant metagenome
Description: partial contains small subunit ribosomal RNA, internal transcribed spacer 1, and 5.8S ribosomal RNA
Source: RNAcentral